Molecule: ribosomal RNA, 200 nt
Filed under: uncultured bacterium
Lineage: Bacteria
Description: partial 16S ribosomal RNA
Rfam family: Bacterial small subunit ribosomal RNA
Source: RNAcentral
GAUGAACGCUGGCGGCAUGCCUAACACAUGCAAGUCGAACGAGACCUUCGGGUCUAGUGGCGCACGGGUGCGUAACGCGUGGGAAUCUGCCCUUGGGUUCGGAAUAACAGCUAGAAAUGGCUGCUAAUACCGGAUGAUGACGUAAGUCCAAAGAUUUAUCGCCCAGGGAUGAGCCCGCGUAGGAUUAGCUAGUUGGUGAG